This 498-nucleotide ribosomal RNA is filed under the name uncultured bacterium. RNAcentral's name for it is "partial 16S ribosomal RNA". It matches the Rfam family "Bacterial small subunit ribosomal RNA", at positions 28 to 507 of the family's 1533-position model. The record is from RNAcentral.
GACGAACGCUGGCGGCGUGCCUAAUACAUGCAAGUCGAGCGGACGAAUCGAAAGCUUGCUUUUGAUUCGUUAGCGGCGGACGGGUGAGUAACACGUGGGCAACCUGCCCUGUAGACGGGGAUAACACCGAGAAAUCGGUGCUAAUACCGGAUAACACGAAAUGUCGCAUGACGUUUCGUUGAAAGACGGCGCAAGCUGCCGCUACAGGGUGGGCCCGCGGCGCAUGAGCUAGUUGGUGGGGUAACGGCUCACCAAGGCGACGAUACGUAGCCGACCUGAGGGGGUGAUCGGCCACACUGGGACUGAGACACGGCCCAGACUCCUACGGGAGGCAGCAGUAGCGAAUCUUCCGCAAUGGACGAAAGUCUGACGGAGCAACGCCGCGUGAGUGAAGAAGGCCUUCGGGUCGGAAAGCUCUGUUGUUAGGGAAGAACAAGUAACGCAGUAACUGGCGUUACCGUGACGGUACCUAACGAGAAAGCCACGGCUAACUACGUG